GUGCCAGCGCCGCGGUAAUACGUAGGUGGCAAGCGUUGUCCGGAUUUAUUGGGUUUAAAGGGUGCGUAGGUGGUCUAUUAAGUCAGUGCUGAAAUAUCCCGGCUUAACCGGGAGGGUGGCAUUGAUACUGAUGGACUUGAGUAAAGUUGAGGUGGGCGGAAUUGACGGUGUAGCGGUGAAAUGCUUAGAUAUCGUCAAGAACACCUAUUGCGAAGGCAGCUCACUAAGCUUUAACUGACACUGAGGCACGAAAGUGUGGGGAUCAAACAGG
RNAcentral lists this ribosomal RNA (271 nucleotides) under uncultured prokaryote. RNAcentral describes it as "partial 16S ribosomal RNA". It matches the Rfam family "Bacterial small subunit ribosomal RNA", at positions 505 to 776 of the family's 1533-position model. The record is from RNAcentral.